RNAcentral lists this ribosomal RNA (433 nucleotides) under uncultured bacterium. Its description in RNAcentral is "partial 16S ribosomal RNA". It matches the Rfam family "Bacterial small subunit ribosomal RNA", at positions 29 to 507 of the family's 1533-position model. The record is from RNAcentral.
AACGAACGCUGGCGGCAUGCCUAACACAUGCAAGUCGAACGAGACCUUCGGGUCUAGUGGCGCACGGGUGCGUAACGCGUGGGAACCUGCCCUUAGGUUCGGAAUAACUCCCCGAAAGGGGUGCUAAUACCGGAUAAUGUCUUCGGACCAAAGAUUUAUCGCCUUUGGAGGGGCCCGCGUUGGAUUAGCUAGUUGGUAGGGUAAAAGCCUACCAAGGCGACGAUCCAUAGCUGGUCUGAGAGGAUGAUCAGCCACACUGGGACUGAGACACGGCCCAGACUCCUACGGGAGGCAGCAGUGGGGAAUAGUGGACAAUGGGCGAAAGCCUGAUCCAGCAAUGCCGCGUGAGUGAUGAAGGCCUUAGGGUUGUAAAGCUCUUUUACCCGGGAUGAUAAUGACAGUACCGGGAGAAUAAGCUCCGGCUAACUCCGUG